Molecule: ribosomal RNA, 468 nt
Filed under: uncultured bacterium
Lineage: Bacteria
Description: partial 16S ribosomal RNA
Rfam family: Bacterial small subunit ribosomal RNA
Source: RNAcentral
GACGAACGCUGGCGGCGUGCUUAACACAUGCAAGUCGAACGGAAAGGCCCUGCUUUUGUGGGGUGCUCGAGUGGCGAACGGGUGAGUAACACGUGAGUAACCUGCCCUUGACUUUGGGAUAACUUCAGGAAACUGGGGCUAAUACCGGAUAGGAGCUCCUGCUGCAUGGUGGGGGUUGGAAAGUUUCGGCGGUUGGGGAUGGACUCGCGGCUUAUCAGCUUGUUGGUGUGGUAGUGGCUUACCAAGGGUUUGACGGGUAGCCGGCCUGAGAGGGUGACCGGCCACAUUGGGACUGAGAUACGGCCCAGAAUCCUGCGGGAGGCAGCAGGGGGGAAUAUUGCACAAUGGGCGGAAGCCUGAUGCAGCAACGCCGCGUGCGGGAUGACGGCCUUCGGGUUGUAAACCGCUUUCGCCUGUGACGAAGAGUGAGUGACGGUAAUGGGUAAAGAAGCACCGGCUAACUACGUG